CAGGCUCACUAAGGACACCUACCGUGUCCGGUUUGCUCUACCCGGGAACAGCCAGCUUGGCCUGCGGCCCGGCCAGCACCUCAUCCUACGGCUGGUCUCAAACUCCUGACCUCAAGUGAUCAGCCCACCUCGGCCUCCCAAAGUGUGGGGAUUACAGACAUGAGCCACCGUGCCCAGCCUUAAAAGGGUUUGCUGAAUGACUGGCUGACUGACUGCACACUUCUGUUUCUCAGAGGGAUAGUAGAUGACUUAGAAAUUCAGAGAGCCUAUACGCCCAUCAGCCCUGCCAACGCAGAAGGAUACUUUGAAGUGUUAAUUAAGAUGAAGAAACUGAAGCUCAAAAAGAUGACAUCAUUUGUCUCAAGGCCUCUUGGGUAAUAUGAUCCAAAUGGAAGGACAAAAGUUCAGUGUCAGUUCUGUUUAACAAGUAUGUAUUAAACAUUUACUCUGUGCCA
Molecule: long non-coding RNA, 455 nt
Filed under: Homo sapiens (human)
Lineage: Eukaryota; Metazoa; Chordata; Mammalia; Primates; Hominidae
Description: non-protein coding lnc-CDCP2-2:2
Source: RNAcentral